CUCAUGGCCCUCUGUCUCA
Molecule: non-coding RNA, 19 nt
Filed under: Mus musculus (house mouse)
Lineage: Eukaryota; Metazoa; Chordata; Mammalia; Rodentia; Muridae
Source: RNAcentral